This 74-nucleotide transfer RNA is filed under the name Chelonia mydas (Green sea turtle). It matches the Rfam family "tRNA". Rfam says of the family: Transfer RNA (tRNA) molecules are approximately 80 nucleotides in length. Their secondary structure includes four short double-helical elements and three loops (D, anti-codon, and T loops). Lineage: Eukaryota; Metazoa; Chordata; Testudines; Cheloniidae. The record is from Rfam by way of RNAcentral.
GCCGAAGUAGCUCAGUGGGGAGAGUGUUAGAAUGAAGAUUUAGAAGUUCCCUGGUUCAAUCCCAGGCUUUGGCA